RNAcentral lists this ribosomal RNA (253 nucleotides) under uncultured bacterium. RNAcentral's name for it is "partial 16S ribosomal RNA". It matches the Rfam family "Bacterial small subunit ribosomal RNA", at positions 524 to 776 of the family's 1533-position model. The record is from RNAcentral.
UACGAAGGGGGCUAGCGUUGUUCGGAAUCACUGGGCGUAAAGCGCACGUAGGCGGCUGUGUCAGUCAGGGGUGAAAUCCCGGGGCUCAACCUCGGAACUGCCUUUGAUACAGCACGUCUCGAGUCCGGAAGAGGUGGGUGGAAUUCCUAGUGUAGAGGUGAAAUUCGUAGAUAUUAGGAAGAACACCGGUGGCGAAGGCGGCCCACUGGUCCGGUACUGACGCUGAGGUGCGAAAGCGUGGGGAGCAAACAGG